GCUCUUGUUGGAGUGCGUAGCCCGUCACGUGUGACUCGUGCACGCGUUGGCAUUUUGCAGCACCGCUUUCGUUGGGUGCGGAUGUGUUCUUCAAUACGACAAAACGACAAAACGACAAAAUUUCGUUUCAAAACAAUGUUGCAAAUUCUCAAGAAAACUCAAGAAUACUGAGCUAACACCAUUCCUCCUGGUUGUCAGAACCUUGGUGCGUACAUGACAAGCCGUUUUUACCAUUUUCUGAACUGCUUCGGCCAGCAAAAUAAAGACUGAAUUUGUGAAUCUUUCUCCACAAUGGUCAUGAAGCAUUGGAAGGUUUUGACAGUGGCAUCUUCCCAAAAAAGGGCAACAGCAAGUACACAAUCCCUGACCGAGUGACAUGGGGCCUGAGACAAUUCCUCCGACAACUUGACUUUAUGUGAAGAACGGGAGACAUGUGCCAACCCCAACUCCAUGACAGCUGAGUAGAUGUACACCAUUACACCUGCAGCUAAUGGCAACAACGUCACUGAAGUGACUCACUCUGCUGCUAGCUUGAACCUGUUGGGUUUCUCGUUAUCCAGACUCGAUGAGGCUCGUCUUAAUGGGGCAAAUCCAUGGCAAUGGGAGGAAGGAAAGCCUGUCAGCAAACAGUGUGAAUUGUGCAUGAUCUUCAAGUGCAAACUCCAUCGCUGAUGUUGCUCACUUCAACUGCUGCGUCCAACUUCAACCUGUGUGGUUCUCAUCAAGACUGGAUGGGCAUGUCUUUGGGCAUCCAAAGAAGGGAUGCUAAGACGGCACACAGUGUGAACUGUGCAUCAUCUACAAGUGCAAACUCUAUCGCUGAUGUUGCUCACUUCAACUGCUGCAUCCAACUUUAACCUGUGUGGUUCUCAUCAAGACUGGAUGGGCAUGUCUUUGGGCAUCCAAAGAAGGGAUGCUAAGACAGCACACAGUGUGAACUGUGCAUGAUCUACAUGUGCAAACUCUAUCGCUGAUGUUGCUCACUUCAACUGCUGCGUCCAACUUCAACCUGUGUGGUUCUCAUCAAGACUGGAUGGGCAUGUCUUUGGGCAUCCAAAGAAGGGAUGCUAAGACAGCACACAGUGUGAACUGUGCAUGAUCUACAUGUGCAAACUCCAUCGCUGAUGUUGCUCACUUCAAUUGCUGCAUCCAACUUCAACCUGUGUGGUUCUCAUCAAGACUGGAUGGGCGUGUCUUUGGGCAUCCAAAGAAGGGAUGCUAAGACGGCACACAGUGUGAACUGUGCAUCAUCUACAAGUGCAAACUCUAUCGCUGAUGUUGCUCACUUCAACUGCUGCGUCCAGCUUCAACCUGUGUGGUUCUCAUCAAGACUGGAUGGGCAUGUCUUUGGGCAUCCAAAGAAGGGAUGCUAAGACGGCACACAGUGUGAACUGUGCAUGAUCUACAAGUGCAAACUCCAUCGCUGAUGUUGCUCACUUCAAUUGCUGCAUCCAACUUCAACCUGUGUGGUUCUCAUCAAGACUGGAUGGGCGUGUCUUUGGGCAUCCAUAGAAGGGAUGCUAAGACGGCACACAGCGUGAACUGUACAUGAUCUACAAGUGCAAGCUCCAAGGCUGAUGUUGCUCACUUCAACUGCUGCGUCCAGCUUCAACCUGUGUGGUUCUCAUCAAGACUGGAUGGGCGUCUCUUUGGGCAUCCAAAGAAGGGAUGCUAAGACGGCACACAGCAUGAAUUGUGCACGAUCUACAAGUGCGUACUCUAUCAUUGAUGUCGACUUGAUCCAGUUGAACUCUCAUAAUCAAAGAUAAAUGGACUCAUCUUAUGAAAAAAUCGCAAAUCCAUGGCAAUAGCACACUGUUAAUUACAUUAGUGUUGCCGCUAAGGCUGUAUAAAAUUGAAACUUUGAGCUGUGGAAACGACCCAGAAAGGUUGUGAAACUGUUCUCUUUCUAUUAAUUUUGAGUUCAAAUUAAUUUUGAAUUGGAAUAUUCAAAUUUUUUCCAUCUUGGCAGAUAAUGCUUUUCUGACUUAAUGUUGGAGAUCGUUAUUCUGACUUAAUGUUGGAGAUCGCUAUUCUGCGUCUCCUUGGUCAAUAGUUGAAUUGUUGGGAUGAUGAGCUAGGAGUCCACAAUCUAAAUUAUCAUUCAAUUAUUUUGCCAUGGAUUUGCCAAGAUAUUUCAAUGGAAAAUACUUAAGAGAGAACCAGGUACAUGUCACUGAUAACGAAAGUCAAAUUUAAACUUUUGGAGAGUUUCUUAAAACUCAAAUAAAAUCCCAAAUUUCUUAUUAACUGAAGAUUUUUAACAGUACAUAGCUCUGUACUUCCUUUCCAUAAUCUGGAGGUCAUUGUUGAUCAGACAUGGCAGUACUUUGCGCAGAUGCAAAUUAAACAUUUUAUUUGAUUUCAUCUAUAACAAAACUGUUGUCCUGUUGCCGUUUGCGAGUUAGCCAACCCUAUGGAGUUUUUGUACACAAUGCUUUAUUUGUUUCAGAUUUUGCGCAUUCCGAGUCCAUUCGAAUAUCACGUAAUGGGACAAUAUUACACAAGCUGCGUUGACGCGAUUCUAACGUGACUCUUCCGCGAUAGGUCAAUUCCUUUAAAAAAAGAGCUAACUUUACGCAGGAUACUAAAAAGAAAAGGUUUAAAUACUGACAUGUGCCUGGUUUGUUAUUUUUUGUUGCAAUAAAUUUAUCGCUUAUCAUAUUUGCAAUAUUUCAAACAUUGCAUUUUCUUGAUGUAAAAUACUUAUGUUAUAACAACAUUUAAAUAUAUCAAUAUUUUAUUUAGUAUUUUAUAAAUGUUUGUGUUUACACUAGCACAUCACAUGAAUAUUUCUGCAAUGCAGGCUCGAAAUUGUACAUGUACAUAUUUUUUUGACACUUGAAAAACAAGUUGUCUUUCCUAUAUAUUUGGUAAUUGGCUGUAACGCUUCAACUUUUUUGAAAACGAGAGGCAAACUUACCCUCUGAAAUUUUUGUAUGACGGUUCUGUAUGAAAACAGACGCCAUGAAGAUUAAGACUCCUUUUCCAUUUAUAGGUUAAACACUCGUGCGACUGGUCACAUAAUUAUCUUCACUUAGGCAUGCGCAAUACUACCAAUGAGUCUGUAUUUGAUAGACAUCUAAAUUCACGCUACGACGGCAUAUUGCAUUCAAUACUUCUUCGUAUAUUUUGAAAGAAAAAAAGAUCUUGUGGUUUAUGGAGCAUUAAUGUUUCAUGUGAUGUGCUAGUGUUAGCCGUUUUGUGCCCAUUUCUUCAAAUAAAACGAGUGUUUGGUUUCUUUAGUGGUGUGAUUAUUUUAAUUGUAUCUGCUGUCUACUCUAUAUUUCAAGAGAAAAAAAAUGGAAAAAAAAGAUGGAAAUUUAUUAUGCGCCUAAUUUAAGCCCAAAUUUGAAUGGCCGUUUUAGUUGUGAAAUAACAUGCAUCUUAAC
RNAcentral lists this long non-coding RNA (3392 nucleotides) under Patiria miniata (bat star). RNAcentral describes it as "uncharacterized LOC119729325". Lineage: Eukaryota; Metazoa; Echinodermata; Asteroidea; Valvatida; Asterinidae. The record is from RNAcentral.